UUAAAAGGCCAUGCCACCCUGAGAUUUGUGUAUGAUCUCAGAACCUAAGCAGAGUUGGGGCCUGGUUAGUACUUGGAUGAGAGAUGACUGGGAAUAACCAGGUGCCAC
RNAcentral lists this ribosomal RNA (108 nucleotides) under Periophthalmus magnuspinnatus. Lineage: Eukaryota; Metazoa; Chordata; Actinopteri; Gobiiformes; Gobiidae. The record is from RNAcentral.